GCUUUGUAUAGCGCUCUGGAGCAGUAUUGGAGAGGUUUAGUGUGUGUUAAGGACGCUGUGCUUUGGCAUUAUUAAGACAGUCUCGUUCACACACUGUCACGUACACACACUCUCAAGUGGCCAAGACUGCAAGUGUGGGUAUCUGGACAGGGUCAAAGUCUUAAAAAUGAUCCCUAAACACAUCACAGUCUUAAUAAUCCAGUUUAACACUUGUAUGAUAUUGUACAAGCCCCAGGACGAUCUCAUCUGACAAUAUCAAAAGAAUUCAUAUGACUAUAGCUUGCUAUUAAUUACUUGCUUUCAAUAAUGGAUGCAUUUAACAUUUAAUUAUACAGCAUCUUUACAGAGGUGUAAUGUACAAGUUGCACGUAAUUAAUAAUAUUUCCUUCUUUCUGUCUUACAGGAUUUUUUGCAGAUAAUCCUAAUGCUGUUCUUCUUUUUCAGGUCUAAAAUAUCAAGCUCAACAACUCACUCAAGAGCCAACCCUCACAAACCUUCCUAAAAACUAAAAGAGCUAUUACUGAGUCUCAGCGAAUCUUGCCAUGAUCAGCUCUUCCCAGAAGAGAAGGAAGACCAAGGAAAUGAUUUGCUCAGGAUGAGAAAUGAAGAUGGCCAUCUUGUGCUCAAGCAAACAGAAGUCCUCUGAUGAUCUCAUCAGCCAAAUGAGGGGUUUUGACCAAGUGAUGCUCUUGAAAGGAGUGAAAGAAGAAGAUGUGCUAAAUUCUCUUCAGAGAAAAAGCUUCUCAAAAGAUCUUAAAACAGCUUGAAGAAUGGUCUGGGAUCUUAGGACUGAGAGAUCAUCUGGCUGAGAACAAGCUACACCUCAUCAGUGCUGGACAUCAACCACAAACUGUUUCCAGACACGAGAGAAGAAGAUCACGAUGGGAGAUGAAACCAGUUUAGAUGUGAUGAUGGGAAUCAUUAUUUUCUGAAACAGUAUCACAUGUCUUAUAUGUAUCACAUGAUCUGUAUCACAGUUGACUGGAUGGGACUGUGUGACUUUUAAGGACAUUUCAUCACUCAUCUGUGUGAACUGAUUUAUAUAUGAGGUUUAAUGUAUCUUUGAUGAUAAUUAUUUUCAUUGAAUC
Molecule: long non-coding RNA, 1088 nt
Filed under: Carassius auratus (goldfish)
Lineage: Eukaryota; Metazoa; Chordata; Actinopteri; Cypriniformes; Cyprinidae
Description: lncRNA (ENSCARG00000053509.1)
Source: RNAcentral